ACGGCUUAGGCUACUGAUUGAGGAUGGAAUUUCUCCGACUAAGCCCAUACCAGUUAGAUGCAAGACCUCUCAGUUGGUGAGUCUUCCAAGUUGGGCGAAGAAUGAGGACGAGUCAAAGUGGUUGUAAGCGAGAUCGAGAUACCUGAGGUGAUGAAGUCUGAAAAGACUUACUAUUAGCAUUGAGGGAGCCUCUGAGACAUGCACCAUAUAGGUCUAGCUUCGUCACUACACCGGUCUCG
Arabidopsis thaliana (thale cress) is the source of this 239-nucleotide long non-coding RNA. RefSeq annotates it as other RNA. Lineage: Eukaryota; Viridiplantae; Streptophyta; Magnoliopsida; Brassicales; Brassicaceae. The record is from RefSeq. The transcript has a single exon.